GAUCAUGCUCAGGAUGAACGCUAGCUACAGGCUUAACGCAUGCAAGUCGAGGGGCAGCAUGAACUUAGCUUGCUAAGUUUGAUGGCGACCGGCGCACGGGUGAGUAACACGUAUCCAACCUGCCGAUGACUCGGGGAUAGCCUUUCGAAAGAAAGAUUAAUACCCGAUGGCAUAAUUCUUCCGCAUGGUAGAACUAUUAAAGAAUUUCGGUCAUCGAUGGGGAUGCGUUCCAUUAGG
This 237-nucleotide ribosomal RNA is filed under the name uncultured bacterium. RNAcentral describes it as "partial 16S ribosomal RNA". It matches the Rfam family "Bacterial small subunit ribosomal RNA", at positions 15 to 245 of the family's 1533-position model. The record is from RNAcentral.